Molecule: ribosomal RNA, 449 nt
Filed under: uncultured bacterium
Lineage: Bacteria
Description: bacterial SSU rRNA
Rfam family: Bacterial small subunit ribosomal RNA
Source: RNAcentral
CCUANGGGUGGCUGCAGUCGAGAAUAUUCGGCAAUGGGGGAAACCCUGACCGAGCGACGCCGCGUGCGGGAAGAAGGUCUUAGGAUUGUAAACCGCUUUUUUGGGAGAUGAAUCCGCAAGGAUGACAGUAUCCCAAGAAUAAGGGGGUGCUAACUCUGUGCCAGCAGCAGCGGUAAUACAGAGCCCCCAAGCGUUAUCCGGAUUUAUUGGGCGUAAAGAGUCUGUAGGCGGUUAGGUUAGUCUAAUGUCAAAGCUCCUGGGCUUAACCUGGGAAAUGCGUUAGAUACUGCUUAACUUGAGGGCAUUAGGGGCUGAUAGAACGGUCGGUGUAGGGGUGAAAUCCGUUGAUAGCGACCGGAAUACCAAAAGCGAAGGCAUUCAGCUGGGGUGACCCUGACGCUGAGAGACGAAAGCGUGGGCAUAAAAAAGGAUUAGAUACCCUANUAGUC